Drosophila simulans is the source of this 272-nucleotide long non-coding RNA. RefSeq lists it as uncharacterized. The record is from RefSeq and is a predicted model, not a curated record. The transcript has 2 exons. NCBI's taxonomy places the organism in Eukaryota, Metazoa, Arthropoda, Insecta, Diptera, Drosophilidae.
CUUCAACCGUGUGCUUUUUGUAUGCUUGACGCGCAGAGUUGCCAAUUCACGGCAAAAGAUCGACAAAUUAGGAUGAUGCAAAAAGAGGACACACCACAGGAAAAAAUUAUCUAUUAUCCCUAUCAUCACAGGAACAAGGAAAUACGUUUCCAACCCACAAUAAUUUCAGAUCACACGGACGUCAAAUUUACUAAUUACACUACUUCAAAAGCCAUAACGUUUUUGCUAAUCUAAAAAUAAUUAAUGAUGAAACACGACAAUGUUAAAAAUAA